CAAAAAUUUCCCUUUUGCUGCCUCUCUCUUGCUGUCCUAGCCUUUCCUUGGCCAAAUCGACUUAAAAGACGAAAGGAUUUACUUAUUGAUUGCACCAAACUUUAAGGAUUAAAUGAAUUAGUUUUAAACAUUGAGGCACUCCAAUAUUAAUUAAGGCAUAAUUAAGGGACUACAAAAUAUAGUUUCCUUGCCUUAACCCAAAGAAAAAGCUAUAAACGACGUCAUUUAUAAACCACUCAAAACUCAAGGCGCUUCUUCAGAUUCUUCCGCAAAGCUUUCCCAUAGAUUUCCGGAAACACAACCACCCACCAAAUCCAAAAUCACCCAAAACUCUGCCUUCCAGUCUCUGAUACAUCCUCUUUCAAUCAGAGUCCUUCUCAUAGUAAUAUCUUUUAGACUUUGUGGCAAUGGGUGGGCUGCCUUUGCAAAAUGCUUCCUCAACCUUAGCUCUGCCAGGAUCAGAGCAAAAUAAGGGUUCAGCAAUCUCAACAUCUGUACGAGAAUCAAAGCCAAAAAAGAAGAUUUGCUGUGCCUGCCCUGAAACUAAGAAGCUGAGAGAUGAAUGUAUUGUGGAGCAUGGUGAAAAUGCUUGUGCAAAAUGGAUUGAGGCUCAUCGUCAGUGCCUUCGAGCUGAAGGUUUUAAUGUUUGAGAUUGAUUCAAAUGGUUAAGUUGAUAAUUUGAUACUUAUUUGGGGCGUAGGUUACUUGCUUUUGGAACCGUACAUGCCACAGUAGUUAAGGAAUAGAACAAGAAAAGGGCCGCUUUUCUUGACAAUUUGUGUUUCAACUUGUGCAAUUUAUUGAAAUUAUGAGGCAGUCUUAACAAUUCAAAGUAGACGGGAGUACAUGAUGCGCUCUAGUCAUCUGAUAUUUUUCUUGAGAUGCCAUUGGUAUUCUGCUACUUUCUAAUUGUUUAUGUUAGAUAUUGUUUUUGUUGGUUUAAAGGACUUGGACCUGAGGUCUAAUGGGCAUCACUACUCGCAAGGUAUGCAAUUGCAACUGUGGGAGGAUGCCUCAGUGACUGCUACCAGAUUGAGUUGAACAUCUAAUGCAGGCAACAUAUCCCCGUACUUGUAACACCUUGACGUUGUCUUCUCAUCUGCUCCUUAUUUGGAACCAUUUAUGAUUGUGCCAUGGUGCCCAUACGGAUAUAGAAAACAGAUUCUCUAAAAUUUAAAUUUACUUUUAUGCCAUUACUUAUCAUCGUAGCGUGCAUGCUAUUUCUUCAGUGUAGAAAACAUAUUCUUCCAGCUUUCUUCUUUCCCUUUAAGUUCAUAUUGGGGAUUAGUUAUUGUUGUAUGACACUUCAUUCGUGGGAUCUCUAGGUCCUAGCUAGAUGCAGGGUGCUUCACUGAGAUAGUAUUUGUAAUAUUUAUACUUAAUUUAACCUGUAAAUACAGUUAAACAAAUAGUGUGAUCUGGGAAUUUAUUUAGGGCUCCUUUGCCAAUGGAGCCGAAUAAUUAUAGCUAUGAAGUAAGAAUCAAAACAGUUGGGAAACGAAAGAAACUAGUUAUCCGGAAAAGAUAACUAGAAGAAGGUUUGUACUAUUAGUAAUUCAUUAAUUAAGCCACACAAAGGCCAUAGAUGUGGCCAUUAAACACUCUAUGCAAGGAAACAUAGAGUAUUUCACCCCAUACCCACAAGUAUCACAACAGAAAACACAUUAUUUAGUACAAUUGCAUUAUUAGCGACUCCCCUGCAACCUCACACUAUAUGUUAAGUUUUUAUAAGUUUAGUGACCACAAGUGCAGUCAGUGCAGGUGCAGCCAGCACCGCACUUGCACUUGCCGUCGGGCUCGGCGGCGGGAACCUCCAUGACAACAGUAGAGACAAAGCUGCAAGAGAUGAAACAUUCAAUUAGUGCUGGAUUGCAAGUGUAAAAUCUCAAAUCAAAGUCUUCACAAAAUCUAUGGAAUUUUCAUUAAGUUUUUAUGAACAUUUCCAUCUUAUUUCACCUGUUAAAAGCUUCCUUUUUCAUUUUCCUCAUUGGGUUAUCAUAGUAUUUAACUUGUAUUGUCAUAAAUCAUAACGAAUCAAAAUUAACUCUCGUAUUCUAUUUUCUUGAAUAUAAGACAUUACAAUUCAAAAAAAAUAUAUAUUGGGUGAGAUUGAAUUAUUAAUUGAAUUUGCAUACCUCUUCUCAGUCUCA
Molecule: unclassified non-coding RNA, 2150 nt
Filed under: Hevea brasiliensis (rubber tree)
Lineage: Eukaryota; Viridiplantae; Streptophyta; Magnoliopsida; Malpighiales; Euphorbiaceae
Source: RNAcentral